RNAcentral lists this ribosomal RNA (745 nucleotides) under marine sediment metagenome. Its description in RNAcentral is "LSU rRNA". It matches the Rfam family "Bacterial large subunit ribosomal RNA", at positions 681 to 1414 of the family's 2925-position model. The record is from RNAcentral.
GUCUUAAAUGGGCGAUUUGAGUUGCAUGGAGUAGACCCGAAACCAGGUGAUCUAUCCAUGGCCAGGGUGAAGUCCCGGUAACACGGGAUGGAGGCCCGAACCAGUGUGGGGUGAAAACCGCUUGGAUGAGCUGUGGAUAGGAGUGAAAGGCUAAUCAAACCUGGAGAUAGCUGGUUCUCCCCGAAAUAUAUUUAGGUAUAGCCUCGUAGAUUAAAUAACGGGGGUAGAGCUCUGGAUGGGCUAGGGGUCCUACCAGAUUACCAAACCCAACCAAACUACGAAUACCGUUAUUCUUUACUACGGGAGUCAGACUAUGGGUGAUAAGAUCCGUGGUCGAGAGGGAAAGAGCCCAGAUCGCCAGCUAAGGUCCCAAAAUAUGUGCUAAGUGGGAAAGGAUGUGGAAACGCUGAGACAGCCAGGAGGUUGGCUUAGAGGCAGCCAUCCUUUAAAGAAAGCGUAACAGCUCACUGGUCAAGUGGUUCUGCGCCGAAAAUGUAACGGGGCUCAAGCACAUUACCGAAGCUGCGAAUCGUCUGAAUCUUCGGAUUCAGGUGGUGGUAGGGGAGCAUUCUAUUCUGGAGUGAAGCCAGACCGUAAGGACUGGUGGACUGGAUAGAAGAGAUAAUGCUGACAUGAGUAGCGAUAAUGCCGGUGAGAAACCGGCACGCCGAAAGCCUCAGGUUUCCUGGGUAAAGUUAAUCUGCUCAGGGUUAGUCGAUCCCUAAGUCGAGGCCGAAGGGCGUAG